This 1346-nucleotide ribosomal RNA is filed under the name uncultured bacterium. RNAcentral describes it as "bacterial SSU rRNA". It matches the Rfam family "Bacterial small subunit ribosomal RNA", at positions 28 to 1381 of the family's 1533-position model. The record is from RNAcentral.
GACGAACGCUGGCGGCGUGCUUAACACAUGCAAGUCGAACGGAAAGGCCCUGCUUUUGUGGGGUGCUCGAGUGGCGAACGGGUGAGUAACACGUGAGUAACCUGCCCUUGACUUUGGGAUAACUUCAGGAAACUGGGGCUAAUACCGGAUAGGAGCUCCUGCUGCAUGGUGGGGGUUGGAAAGUUUCGGCGGUUGGGGAUGGACUCGCGGCUUAUCAGCUUGUUGGUGGGGUAGUGGCUUACCAAGGCUUUGACGGGUAGCCGGCCUGAGAGGGUGACCGGCCACAUUGGGACUGAGAUACGGCCCAGACUCCUACGGGAGGCAGCAGUGGGGAAUAUUGCACAAUGGGCGGAAGCCUGAUGCAGCAACGCCGCGUGCGGGAUGACGGCCUUCGGGUUGUAAACCGCUUUCGCCUGUGACGAAGCGUGAGUGACGGUAAUGGGUAAAGAAGCACCGGCUAACUACGUGCCAGCAGCCGCGGUGAUACGUAGGGUGCGAGCGUUGUCCGGAUUUAUUGGGCGUAAAGGGCUCGUAGGUGGUUGAUCGCGUCGGAAGUGUAAUCUUGGGGCUUAACCCUGAGCGUGCUUUCGAUACGGGUUGACUUGAGGAAGGUAGGGGAGAAUGGAAUUCCUGGUGGAGCGGUGGAAUGCGCAGAUAUCAGGAGGAACACCAGUGGCGAAGGCGGUUCUCUGGGCCUUUCCUGACGCUGAGGAGCGAAAGCGUGGGGAGCGAACAGGCUUAGAUACCCUGGUAGUCCACGCUGUAAACGGUGGGUACUAGGUGUGGGGUCCAUUCCACGGGUUCCGUGCCGUAGCUAACGCUUUAAGUACCCCGCCUGGGGAGUACGGCCGCAAGGCUAAAACUCAAAGGAAUUGACGGGGCCCCGCACAAGCGGCGGAGCAUGCGGAUUAAUUCGAUGCAACGCGUAGAACCUUACCUGGGUUUGACAUGGAUCGGGAGCGCUCAGAGAUGGGUGUGCCUCUUUUGGGGUCGGUUCACAGGUGGUGCAUGGCUGUCGUCAGCUCGUGUCGUGAGAUGUUGGGUUAAGUCCCGCAACGUGCGCAACCCUUGUUCACUGUUGCCAGCACGUUAUGGUGGGGACUCAGUGGAGACCGCCGGGGUCAACUCGGAGGAAGGUGGGGAUGACGUCAAGUCAUCAUGCCCCUUAUGUCCAGGGCUUCACGCAUGCUACAAUGGCUGGUACAGAGAGUGGCGAGCCUGUGAGGGUGAGCGAAUCUCGGAAAGCCGGUCUCAGUCCGGAUUGGGGUCUGCAACUCGACCUCAUGAAGUCGGAGUCGCUAGUAAUCGCAGAUCAGCAACGCUGCGGUGAAUACUUUCCCGGGGCU